This 345-nucleotide ribosomal RNA is filed under the name Actinomyces sp. oral taxon 177. RNAcentral describes it as "bacterial SSU rRNA". It matches the Rfam family "Bacterial small subunit ribosomal RNA", at positions 386 to 727 of the family's 1533-position model. Lineage: Bacteria; Bacillati; Actinomycetota; Actinomycetes; Actinomycetales; Actinomycetaceae. The record is from RNAcentral.
AUGCAGCGACGCCGCGUGAGGGAUGGAGGCCUUCGGGUUGUAAACCUCUUUCGCCAGUGAAGCAGGCCUGCUCCUUGUGGGUGGGUUGACGGUAGCUGGAUAAGAAGCGCCGGCUAACUACGUGCCAGCAGCCGCGGUAAUACGUAGGGCGCGAGCGUUGUCCGGAAUUAUUGGGCGUAAAGAGCUCGUAGGCGGCUGGUCGCGUCUGUCGUGAAAUCCUCUGGCUUAACUGGGGGCUUGCGGUGGGUACGGGCCGGCUUGAGUGCGGUAGGGGAGACUGGAACUCCUGGUGUAGCGGUGGAAUGCGCAGAUAUUCAGGAAGAACACCGGUGGCGAAGGCGGGUU